Molecule: ribosomal RNA, 240 nt
Filed under: Clostridioides difficile
Lineage: Bacteria; Bacillati; Bacillota; Clostridia; Peptostreptococcales; Peptostreptococcaceae
Description: partial 23S ribosomal RNA
Rfam family: Bacterial large subunit ribosomal RNA
Source: RNAcentral
GGGAGUGAAAUAGAACCUGAAACCCUGCACUUACAAGCUGUGGAAGCACAUUUCUUGUGUGACCGCGUACUUUUUGUAGAACGGGCCAACGAGUUACGUUAAGUAGCAAGGUUAAGCACUUAAGGUGUGGAGCCGUAGCGAAAGCGAGUUUUAACUGAGCGUUCAGUUACUUGACGUAGACCCGAAACCGGGCGACCUACCCAUGAGCAGGAUGAAGCGAAAGUAAAAUUUCGUGGAGGU